Non-coding RNA from Elaeis guineensis (African oil palm), 559 nucleotides. The record is from RefSeq and is a predicted model, not a curated record. NCBI's taxonomy places the organism in Eukaryota, Viridiplantae, Streptophyta, Magnoliopsida, Arecales, Arecaceae.
UUUGACACUUAGUAAUUAGUCUAUCUUCAAUAGCCAAUUUUGUUGACCGAUUUUAUGGAACAAAUAGUUUAUUUCCAUCCAUGCAUAAUACGGCAUAUUCUUAUUUAUUGUGCUGUAGAAGCAUUUGAUUGUGCUUUAGCUUAAUUUUUCUUUUCUAAAGUGAACUUUAUUUGUAAUCUUUGUUUGAUCUGCAUGAUUAUUUUAAUUACUUAAUCAUGAAGUUUUGUGGUUUUCUUUGAACGGGGCCCAUUAAUCAACAAAGCUGCUGUAGAAAAGGGAGCAAACGUUAUACUUGGGGGAAAGAGAGAGUCUGGGCAUGACAUUUUAUGAGCCUACUGUACUUGGAAAUGUUAAUGAUGAAAUGCUCGUAUCUAGGUGAAACUCCAAAACCUUUUAUAACAUUCAUGAUGACAUGCCUUGGCUACUAUUUUAUUUUGUGAUGUUGGUUAUUGUUACUCUAGUCUGUGAAUGGCUUUAACUCAUCCAUUGCCUAAUCUCAUCCUUUGUAAUGCCUAAUAUAAUGGCACAAAAAAAAUCAAUGGAGGAGUAUUUUUGAAAG